GGACAAUUAGCAUCAGCUGCAUCAGUGGGUGGAGUUUAAGGGCAGUAUAUUAGUUUGCAUUACUCCUGUUAGGUUGCUUCGCAGAGGUCAUUUUUCUGGUAUUAGGUUUGGUAGCAAAAAAAUAAAUAAACUUGAAAGAUGUUUCGAUUUGCUAUAUUUUUGGAUUUGCUUUACUGAUUGGUAGAUCAAUACCAACAGCUGCAGAAACAUCUACAGCUCCAUCGACAAGAAUAACAACCCCUGAACCAACAUGUAAAAUAGCUACAGCGACAUCUAUAGCACGAUUAACAAGAAAUCCUGCACCAACAUGUAUUUUAGCUACAUCAACAACUGCAGCUCGAUCAACAACAACCCCUGCCCCAACAUCUACAUCUCACUCAGCACUCACUGAACCAACAUCUACAAGUCAAUCAAGAACAACUGCGCCAAGUUUGAGUUCAACUGUGCUUAUGUCUACCACUACUCAAUCAUCAACAACAUUUGCACCAACCUUGACAACUACUCGAACACCAACACAUACUUCUCAAAUAACAACUCAAGUUACAUCUACAACUCAACCAGCAAGCCAGUCUACAUCUCCAGAUGUUGUCCCACAGAAUAGGACAACAUUUGCAUAUACAACUUUCCAAUUGAGAUCCUCUGUUGAGCUUAGCCAUGAUAAAAUCAUUACUUACAUUGAAAAGUUUGUCAAGCACUUGCAAGCAAACUUUAGUGGGACCAUAAAGAUUACUGUGAAGAAAUCAAGAAAAUUGUUGGCCUAAGGAUGUGAUGGAAAACUUAUGUCACAUGCCAUCCUCUACAUGCAAUCUCUAAAAGAUUUCUCCUGCGCCAAGGCGAGUGCUCCCUUGACGAUCAAAUCCACGAGUUUUUGGACUUUGGCGCGUACCAUAUGCACAGUUUCUGGACAAUUCACUCAUUACUUUCUGUGGAGCUCUUUCUCCAACUCAGUGGAUCCUCCUUCACGCUCAAGCCCCAUGGCCUCAGUGUUCUCAAGCUUGGUGGUCCUUCCACCAUCAGCUGCACUUCCCAUGAUGGUAAUUGCCAUUGUGUGUGUCUGAGCAGUACACACUUCCCGAAGGCAGUGGCGACUGCUACAGUACUGUACAGUAAUUACAAGCACUUAUUUUUUUGAAAUUUGAUUACGCAGUCGAGAUUACGUGUAAUCAAUUACUACUCAGCACUGUUAACAAAUCAGAGGACAUUUCGUAUUUUGGAAGUUGAAAUGUUCAGCGAAACAUUAACUAAACAGCGUUCGAGACAGACUGCAUUAAUGUAAAAUAUGUGAAAAAAUUAUGUGUCUAAUAAAUCUGGGCUCUAUGGUUGCAUUUGCAUUGCAAUAUAUAAUAUACAACAAAUGAAAUGAGUGAGCAUCUCUGGUAUUUCAAGAAGCAAACUGUAAGAAACAAGACACACAUACAGGAAUAUUCAGAACGGAUGCAUUUCAUCUUUUGUUUGGAAUAAA
Long non-coding RNA from Onychostoma macrolepis, 1462 nucleotides. RefSeq lists it as uncharacterized. NCBI's taxonomy places the organism in Eukaryota, Metazoa, Chordata, Actinopteri, Cypriniformes, Cyprinidae. The transcript is spliced from 4 exons. The record is from RefSeq and is a predicted model, not a curated record.